This 1444-nucleotide unclassified non-coding RNA is filed under the name uncultured Pleosporales. RNAcentral's name for it is "sequence contains 18S rRNA gene, ITS1, 5.8S rRNA gene, ITS2, 28S rRNA gene". The stretch from base 503 to 1444 matches the Rfam family "Eukaryotic large subunit ribosomal RNA", at positions 1 to 961 of the family's 3401-position model. The record is from RNAcentral. Lineage: Eukaryota; Fungi; Ascomycota; Dothideomycetes; Pleosporales.
GGAAGGAUCAUUAAACGUGAGCACUGUGGAAGAAAAUUCUACAGGGUUCCUCAGAGGUGGGAUCCUUGCACACCGAGUACCGUCCGUUUCCUCGGCAGGCUUGCCUGCCAACGGGGACCCCCAAAACUCUUCUGUAUUAGCAGUAUAUUGUCUGAUGGCAAAUCUUAAUACUUUGAAAACUUUCAACAACGGAUCUCUUGGUUCUGGCAUCGAUGAAGAACGCAGCGAAAUGCGAUAAGUAGUGUGAAUUGCAGAAUUCAGUGAAUCAUCGAAUCUUUGAACGCACAUUGCGCCCUUUGGUAUUCCUUAGGGCAUGCCUGUUCGAGCGUCAUUUAACCCUUCAAGCCCAGCUUGGUGAUGGGCGACUGUCCCGCCAGAUUCGCGUGUGGACUCGCCUCAAAAUCAUUGGCGGCCGGUUCUCAUUGUUGGCUUUGGAGCGCAGCAGAAUUGCGCGACCCGCCCAACGGAAUCGGUGCUCCAGAAGCGCACCCUUUAGCCUUCUUGACCUCGGAUCAGGUAGGGAUACCCGCUGAACUUAAGCAUAUCAAUAAGCGGAGGAAAAGAAACCAACAGGGAUUGCCCUAGUAACGGCGAGUGAAGCGGCAACAGCUCAAAUUUGAAAUCUGGCUCCCUCGGGGCCCGAGUUGUAAUUUGUAGAGGGCGCUUUGGUGUUGGCAGCGGUCUAAGUCCCUUGGAACAGGGCGUCACAGAGGGUGAGAAUCCCGUAUGUGGCCGCCAGCCUCCGCCGUGUAAAGCCCCUUCGACGAGUCGAGUUGUUUGGGAAUGCAGCUCUAAAUGGGAGGUAAAUUUCUUCUAAAGCUAAAUAUUGGCCAGAGACCGAUAGCGCACAAGUAGAGUGAUCGAAAGAUGAAAAGCACUUUGGAAAGAGAGUCAAAAAGCACGUGAAAUUGUUGAAAGGGAAGCGCUUGCAGCCAGACUCGCUCGCAGUUGCUCACCCGGGCUCUUGCCCGGUGCACUCUUCUGCGGGCGGGCCAGCAUCAGUCCGGGCGGUUGGAUAAAGGCCUGCUAAAUGUACCUCCCCUCCGGGAGGACUUAUAGGGUAGGCGACAUACGACCAGCCUGGAUUGAGGUCCGCGCAUUUGCUAGGAUGCUGGCGUAAUGGCUGUAAGCGGCCCGUCUUGAAACACGGACCAAGGAGUCUAACAUCUAUGCGAGUGUUUGGGUGUCAAGCCCGAGCGCGCAAUGAAAGUGAACGGAGGUGGGAACCCCUCGGGGCGCACCAUCGACCGAUCCUGAUGUCUUCGGAUGGAUUUGAGUAAGAGCAUAGCUGUUGGGACCCGAAAGAUGGUGAACUAUGCCUGAAUAGGGUGAAGCCAGAGGAAACUCUGGUGGAGGCUCGCAGCGGUUCUGACGUGCAAAUCGAUCGUCAAAUUUGGGCAUAGGGGCGAAAGACUAAUCGAACUAUCUAGUAGCUGGUUCCUGC